This 253-nucleotide ribosomal RNA is filed under the name uncultured bacterium. RNAcentral's name for it is "partial 16S ribosomal RNA". It matches the Rfam family "Bacterial small subunit ribosomal RNA", at positions 524 to 776 of the family's 1533-position model. The record is from RNAcentral.
GACGAACCGAGCGAACGUUGUUCGGAAUCACUGGGCUUAAAGGGCGCGUAGGCGGGUGCUCAAGUCCGGGGUGAAAUCCUCCAGCUCAACUGGAGAACUGCCUCGGAUACUGGGUGUCUCGAGGGUGGUAGGGGUAUGCGGAACUAUCGGUGGAGCGGUGAAAUGCGUUGAUAUCGAUAGGAACUCCGGUGGCGAAGGCGGCAUACUGGACCACAUCUGACGCUGAGGCGCGAAAGCCAGGGGAGCAAACAGG